AGGGCGCACGGUGGAUGCCUUGGCACUAGGAGCCGAUGAAGGACGGGACUAACACCGAUAUGCUUCGGGGAGCUGUAAGUAAGCUUUGAUCCGGAGAUUUCCGAAUGGGGGAACCCAGCAUCUUUUAUAGGAUGUUACUUUUCAGUGAAUACAUAGCUGAUUAGAGGUAGACGCAGAGAACUGAAACAUCUAAGUACCUGCAGGAAGAGAAAGAAAAAUCGAUUCCCUGAGUAGCGGCGAGCGAAACGGGAAAAGCCCAAACCAAGAGGCUUGCCUCUUGGGGUUGUAGGACUCCGAUAUGGUAGUCCAGUGAGAUAGUCGAAGGACCUGGAAAGGUCUGCUAGAAAGGGUAAAAGCCCCGUAGACAAAAUUUGACUGGCACCUAGGAGGAUCCUGAGUACGGCGGAACACGAGGAAUUCCGUCGGAAUCCGGGAGGACCAUCUCCCAAGGCUAAAUACUCCCUAGUGACCGAUAGUGAACCAGUACCGUGAGGGAAAGGUGAAAAGCACCCCGGAAGGGGAGUGAAAUAGAUCCUGAAACCGUGUGCCUACAACAAGUUAGAGCCCGUUAAUGGGUGAUAGCGUGCCUUUUGUAGAAUGAACCGGCGAGUUACGAUUACUUGCGAGGUUAAGUUGAAAAGACGGAGCCGCAGCGAAAGCGAGUCUGAAUAGGGCGAAUGAGUAAGUGGUCGUAGACCCGAAACCAUGUGAUCUACCCAUGUCCAGGUUGAAGGUGCGGUAAAACGCACUGGAGGACCGAACCCACGUACGUUGAAAAGUGCGGGGAUGAGGUGUGGGUAGCGGAGAAAUUCCAAACGAACUUGGAGAUAGCUGGUUCUCUCCGAAAUAGCUUUAGGGCUAGCCUCAGAGUAAGAAUGAUGGAGGUAGAGCACUGUUUGGACUAGGGGCCCAUCUCGGGUUACCGAAUUCAGAUAAACUCCGAAUGCCAUCCAUUCAUCUCUGGGAGUCAGACUGUGAGUGAUAAGAUCCAUAGUCGAAAGGGAAACAGCCCAGACCACCAGCUAAGGUCCCCAAAUAACUAUUAAGUGGAAAAGGAUGUGGGGUUGCACAGACAACUAGGAUGUUGGCUUAGAAGCAGCCACCAUUUAAAGAGUGCGUAAUAGCUCACUAGUCGAGUGACCCUGCGCCGAAAAUGUACCGGGGCUAAAUAGUUUACCGAAGCUGUGGAACACACCAAUAGGUGUGUUGGUAGGAGAGCGUUCUAAGGGCGUUGAAGGUAGAUCGUGAGGACUGCUGGAGCGCUUAGAAGUGAGAAUGCCGGUAUGAGUAGCGAAAGACAGGUGAGAAUCCUGUCCACCGAAUGACUAAGGUUUCCUGGGGAAGGCUCGUCCGCCCAGGGUUAGUCGGGACCUAAGCCGAGGCCGAUAGGCGUAGGCGAUGGAUAACAGGUUGAUAUUCCUGUACCCGUUGUUUUUGUUUGAGCAAUGGAGGGACGCAGGAGGCUAAGGAAUCAGACGAUUGGAAAUGUCUGUCCAAGCAAUAAGUCUUGAUGUGAGUCAAAUGCUUACGUCUUUAAGGACAAGUUGUGAUGGGGAGGGAAAUAAUAGUACCGAAGUUCCUGAUGUCACACUGCCGAGAAAAGCUUCUAGUGAGAAAACAAUGGCCCGUACCGCAAACCGACACAGGUAGUCGAGGAGAGAAUCCUAAGGUGAGCGAGAGAACUCUCGUUAAGGAACUCGGCAAAAUGACCCCGUAACUUCGGGAGAAGGGGUGCUGAUCUAACGAUCAGCCGCAGUGAAUAGGCCCAAGCGACUGUUUAUCAAAAACACAGGUCUCUGCAAAAUCGAAAGAUGACGUAUAGGGGCUGACGCCUGCCCGGUGCUGGAAGGUUAAGAGGAGUGCUUAGCGUAAGCGAAGGUACGAAUUGAAGCCCCAGUAAACGGCGGCCGUAACUAUAACGGUCCUAAGGUAGCGAAAUUCCUUGUCGGGUAAGUUCCGACCCGCACGAAAGGCGUAACGAUUUGGGCACUGUCUCAACGAGAGACUCGGUGAAAUUUUAGUACCUGUGAAGAUGCAGGUUACCCGCGACAGGACGGAAAGACCCCAUGGAGCUUUACUGCAGUUUGAUAUUGAGUGUUUGUACCACAUGUACAGGAUAGGUAGGAGCCGUAGAAGUCGGGACGCUAGUUUCGACAGAGGCGCUGGUGGGAUACUACCCUUGUGUUAUGACCACUCUAACCCGCACCACUGAUCGUGGUGGGAGACAGUGUCAGAUGGGCAGUUUGACUGGGGCGGUCGCCUCCUAAAGAGUAACGGAGGCGCCCAAAGGUUCCCUCAGAAUGGUUGGAAAUCAUUCGCAGAGUGUAAAGGCACAAGGGAGCUUGACUGCGAGACCUACAAGUCGAGCAGGGACGAAAGUCGGGCUUAGUGAUCCGGUGGUUCCGCAUGGAAGGGCCAUCGCUCAACGGAUAAAAGCUACCCUGGGGAUAACAGGCUUAUCUCCCCCAAGAGUCCACAUCGACGGGGAGGUUUGGCACCUCGAUGUCGGCUCGUCGCAUCCUGGGGCUGUAGUCGGUCCCAAGGGUUGGGCUGUUCGCCCAUUAAAGCGGCACGCGAGCUGGGUUCAGAACGUCGUGAGACAGUUCGGUCCCUAUCCGUCGCGGGCGUUGGAAAUUUGAGAGGAUCUGUCCUUAGUACGAGAGGACCGGGAUGGACUUACCGCUGGUGUACCAGUUGUCUCGCCAGAGGCAUCGCUGGGUAGCUAUGUAGGGAAGGGAUAAACGCUGAAAGCAUCUAAGUGUGAAGCCCACCUCAAGAUGAGAUUUCCCAUUUCU
Molecule: ribosomal RNA, 2795 nt
Filed under: Enterococcus raffinosus
Lineage: Bacteria; Bacillati; Bacillota; Bacilli; Lactobacillales; Enterococcaceae
Also listed under: 1 other name
Description: bacterial LSU rRNA
Rfam family: Bacterial large subunit ribosomal RNA
Source: RNAcentral